GAUGAACGCUGGCGGCGUGCCUAAUACAUGCAAGUCGAGCGAACAGACGAGGAGCUUGCUCCUCUGACGUUAGCGGCGGACGGGUGAGUAACACGUGGAUAACCUACCUAUAAGACUGGGAUAACUUCGGGAAACCGGAGCUAAUACCGGAUAAUAUAUUGAACCGCAUGGUUCAAUAGUGAAAGACGGUUUUGCUGUCACUUAUAGAUGGAUCCGCGCCGCAUUAGCUAGUUGGUAAGGUAACGGCUUACCAAGGCGACGAUGCGUAGCCGACCUGAGAGGGUGAUCGGCCACACUGGAACUGAGACACGGUCCAGACGCCUACGGGCGGCAGAGGUAGGGAAUCUUCCGCAAUGGGCGAAAGCCUGACGGAGCAACGCCGCGUGAGUGAUGAAGGUCUUCGGAUCGUAAAACUCUGUUAUUAGGGAAGAACAAAUGUGUAAGUAACUAUGCACGUCUUGACGGUACCUAAUCAGAAAGCCACGGCUAACUACGUG
Molecule: ribosomal RNA, 497 nt
Filed under: uncultured bacterium
Lineage: Bacteria
Description: partial 16S ribosomal RNA
Rfam family: Bacterial small subunit ribosomal RNA
Source: RNAcentral